Molecule: unclassified non-coding RNA, 492 nt
Filed under: Zea mays
Lineage: Eukaryota; Viridiplantae; Streptophyta; Magnoliopsida; Poales; Poaceae
Description: misc RNA Zm00001eb249780
Source: RNAcentral
CUGAAAUCGGCGGGCGUCCAACGACGCGAGGAGAGGCCACGCGCAUCAUGGCGCCACCGGAGCUCCCGCGCGGUGAUCCAGAAUUAUAUUUUUUUAUUAAAUCUGUGCCGAAGCAGCAGCCCGCGGCGACGACGGGGAAGAUCUCGCCGCGCCGGGCUCACCGCGCGGAAGAGAGCAUAUGGGAUUAGAGGGAAAGCAGAGGGGAAAGGAACUCUGGGCACCGCGCAGAAGAGAGCAGAGGGAAAGCACCUGGCUCUGAGUAGCUCGCCGGUCAGCAAUCAGCAUGAUGGAGGAAGAGGAGAGCAGAGGGGAAAGGGGACUCACCACGCUGAGGAGCUCGCCGGCCAGGCGGCCAGCAGCAGGGUGAAGGAGGCGGCGCUAGAUCUGAGGACGAGAAGGGCUCGUGAGGUGCCUUGUCCCGCGGAGGACGAUAUUAUCCGUCUAAUUUGGAGGGACGAACAGGGACAACAUUCUACUGAUAGAUUUUUCUAG